UACGUAGGGUGCAAGCGUUACUCGGAAUUACUGGGCGUAAAGCGUGCGUAGGUGGUGAGUUAAGUCUGUCGUGAAAGCCCCGGGCUCAACCUGGGAAUGGCGAUGGAUACUGGCUCGCUAGAGUGCGGUAGAGGAGAGUGGAAUUCCAGGUGUAGCAGUGAAAUGCGUAGAGAUCGGGAGGAACAUCAGUUGCGAAGGCGGCUCUCUGGACCAGCACUGACACUGAGGCACGAAAGCGUGGGGAGCAAACAGG
RNAcentral lists this ribosomal RNA (253 nucleotides) under uncultured bacterium. Its description in RNAcentral is "partial 16S ribosomal RNA". It matches the Rfam family "Bacterial small subunit ribosomal RNA", at positions 524 to 776 of the family's 1533-position model. The record is from RNAcentral.